GAGGGUGAUCGGCCACACUGGAACUGAGACACGGUCCAGACUCCUACGGGAGGCAGCAGUAGGGAAUCUUCCGCAAUGGGCGAAAGCCUGACGGAGCAACGCCGCGUGAGUGAUGAAGGUCUUCGGAUCGUAAAACUCUGUUAUUAGGGAAGAACAUAUGUGUAAGUAACUGUGCACAUCUUGACGGUACCUAAUCAGAAAGCCACGGCUAACUACGUGCCAGCAGCCGCGGUAAUACGUAGGUGGCAAGCGUUAUCCGGAAUUAUUGGGCGUAAAGCGCGC
Molecule: ribosomal RNA, 282 nt
Filed under: Staphylococcus aureus
Lineage: Bacteria; Bacillati; Bacillota; Bacilli; Caryophanales; Staphylococcaceae
Description: partial 16S ribosomal RNA
Rfam family: Bacterial small subunit ribosomal RNA
Source: RNAcentral